RNAcentral lists this long non-coding RNA (4050 nucleotides) under Homo sapiens (human). Its description in RNAcentral is "non-protein coding LINC00921:4". Lineage: Eukaryota; Metazoa; Chordata; Mammalia; Primates; Hominidae. The record is from RNAcentral.
ACGCCUCACCCUGUUUUGCAACUUCUUGUUUAUGAGCCUGGAAGCCACGAAGUGGUGGGAAAUACGAGAUUCAAAUAUCUGGUGGCCGUGUGACGUGAGUAAAUUACUCGAUUUUUCUCAGUUUCCAUUUCCUAUCAAAUGGGUUGUUCUGGGAAUUCGGGGAAGUAACAGUGCCGGGAACCGCGGGAGGAACCGCCAGCUGCGUCCUCGGACGUCCCCAAAGCCCAGGGCGGCGACUGGCACGACUGUCAGGGGCGCGUCUGUUAAGAGGACAGGGGGUCCCGCCCCGGCACAGCCGUCUCCUCCAGGACCCCUCCCGCCGACGCCCCACGGACCCCACGCCCGAGCGGAGACCGGCGCGAGUCCGGGGUCUCCGGUCCGGCAGCCCCUCCCUGGCCCGGCGCCCCAAAGGGAAGCGGCCUGGGGGAGGAGACGUGUGGAAAGAGCGGCAGAAGAUAAAGAGGAAGUAGCGGUAGAGAAUAAAAAGGAACUGUCCGCAGUGUGCCCGGACGCGGGGAGGCGCUGGGGUCAAGCGAGACCCGACCUGCACGCAAUUCCCGCCGGGGUCCCGGCCUGCCUGCGGGAGGGAAAGGACCCAGGGCGGCUUCUGCCAAAAGUGCGGCUUCUGCCGAAAGUGCGUCUUCUGCCGAGGGGCCCACAUAAGGCGCGACAGACACUCCAGCCCGACCCCGACGCCCCGCCCUCACGCAUGCACAUGCGCGGAACACUCCCAGAAACACAUCUCCCAGAGCGCCCCGGGAGCACGCGAGCCAAUUGGAGGGCGGAUUAGCGGGGGCCCACGUCUCCCAGAGGUCUCCGAGUCGCGGCUCUGUUGGUCUGAUUGGCAGCCGCAACAGCCUAUAGCUGCUUUUCGCCGGAGGGGCCACGCGCCGUUUGCCGGGACUGAGCCGCUGUUGUCGCUGGUAUCCCGGGAGCAGCGCCGGCAAGUGGAGUCGUCGUAUUCCGGGCGGCCCGCGGCCCACGGGGAUGGGACGUCCCGGGGCUGUGCUGACCCCAAAACCCUUCCACACUUUAUUAGCCUGUCGCCCUUCUUUCAUGUUUACAGCAAAUAUUUUCCGAGUGCCUAAUGUGUCCCACUUACUGUGCCACGUGCGAGGGUGCACGUGUCAGGCAAGAUCGCUGUUCCAAGGAGGCUGAGAACAAGUAAAUGGUAAUUACCAGUUAUGACCAAAGCUGUGAAAGGAACAGAUACAUCAGCCUAACAGCAGCACUGCCGUUUUCUCCCUUAUAAUCAGCAGAGGCGGGCUAGAGCAAGGAUUCUCAAACUCUGCCCCCUCAGAACCCUAGAGUACGGUUGCUGAAACUUCUGUUUUUUCCUUUUGAACAAAUCUAGUAACAUGCUGUGAGCCAGAGAGGUAAUGGUUUGGCUCAAAGAAGGCACAUGCAUCUGGUUUCUUUCUUCUUUUUUGAGACGGAGUCUCGCUCUGUCGUCCAGGCUGGAGUGCAGUGGCGCCAUCUCCGCUCACUGCAAGCUCCGCCUCGCGAGUUCACGCCAGUCUCCUGCCUCAGCCUUCCGAGUAGCUGGGAUUACAGGCGCCCGCCACCACGCCCGGCUAAUUUUCACGCCCGGCUAAUUUUUUGUAUUUUUAGUAGAGACGGGGUUUCACCAUGUUAGCCAGGAUGGUCUCGCUCUCCUGACCUCGUGAUCCGCCCGCUUCGGCCUCCCAAAGUGCUGGGAUUACAGGCGUGAGCCACCGCGCCCGGCCCAGGUUUCUUAUUUCAGGAGCUUCAUAGGCAUAGACCUCCCUCCUUCCCUCCUACCCCCUCCCCCCUCUCCCAACUAAUGCCAGACCGGCCACUACUUUUUAACUGUUUUACAUAUUUAACCUUCAAGAAAGAUUUCCUUUGAUCCAAGUGUAUUGCAGCCCACAAAAAAGCUUGGAAACCCAGCUAGAUGGUCUGUUUUUCUAGUUCCUACAUUGGAUUUAAGUCCUACCCAUCGAGACUACUGUCUUCAGGUAAGCAUAUCGAGGCUGUAUUCACCUUCAUGGUGUUCUCAGGGGCACUUUCUUACACAAAUGAUGGUAAUCAUCCUAGAUCAUUUCCCUGCCUGCCACACUUGCCAGUUAGUUAGAAACUGUAAACCCCUUAAAUGUCUGUCACCAGGGCACUGGCUGAAUAGCUGAGUAAGUUUUGGUGAAUCCAUUCCUUGGACUACACUGCAUCCACUGAAAACAGUGCGGUGAAUUUCUGUGUGCUAAUGUGCAAAGAUGGUUUAUGUAUUAUUCAGUGGAAAAAGCACAUUUGCACUACAGUGCAGAUAGCAUGAUCCCAUGUUUGUAAAUAAGAGAAAAAAAUGUUAAAAUUUAAGUAUCUGGAGGGAAAUGCAAGAAAUAAAUAUGACUACCUUUCAAGAGUAGAAUUGGGGGUAGAAGUUGGCCUUUUCCCUCUAUGUCAUCUAUACGUUUUAUUUUUUUAUUUUAUUAUUAUUUUUUUGAGACGGAGUCUCACGCUGCUGCCCAGGCUGGAGUGCAGUGGCAUGAUCUGGGCUUACUGCGACCUCCGCCUCCCGGGUUCAAGCAAUUUUCUGUCUCAGCCUCCUGAGUAGCUGGGAUUACAAGCGCACGCCACCACGCCCGGCUAAUUUUUGUAUUUUUAGUUAGAGAUGGGGUUUCACCAUGUUGGUCAGGCUGGUCUCGAACUUCUGACCUUGUGUUCUGCCCGCCUCAGCCUCCCAAAGUGCUCAGAUUACAGGCGUGAACCAGUAUGCCCGGCGUUCAAUGAGCAUUUUUAAAGUUUUAUGACUCAUGAAACAUAGUCCACAAAUAUAUGCUCAUUGUGAAAUAGUAACGGAAAAUAAAAUAUGGCAAGCUAAAUGUUAGAGGAGAAAUUUCUUAUUUUGCUCCAUUACUUUUACAGCAGAAAAAUUAAAAAAUUUAUUAGCUGAGACUUUGUUUCACUGGGGUGCAGAAGAUUAAACAAAUGAUUUUUAAAAGCAGACUCUGCCCAUAGAGAAAAAAUAUUCGAGGUUUCCAAAGUAGAAUAAGUUUAAAUUAGCAAGUCAAAUAAGGAACCUUGAGCCAGUACCGAAGGAAACACGUCCCAGACCUAUCUCCAAACACACACACACACACACACACACACACACACUGCAGGCAUAACAUUUAUGCAGACAGACUGUUCUUUAGGGCAUAAUUGUCUCAUGUCUCAAUUCCUCUGAAGCUCCAGAGCAGAAACUGAAAUUUUAAAAAUGCAGUUGAGAUAAACUGAAAUGACUGACAGGCCAUUUGCCAAGAAAAGCUUUGGUUCUUUGGAACAAAGACAGUGCCCAUAUCCCAGCCAACAUCAGGUGGUAUUUCUCUUUCUGUCCUGUAGAGGGCAUCUUCAUGUGUGGGCACCAGGGCUGCGGCUGGAACCACAGUGGACACCCCACGCUCCAAGGACAAUCCUCUGCAGAAACCAGCAGCUGGAAACAAUUCUUAAUGCUGCAGGAAGUAGUUAGGAGAAAACGACUGUGUAAGUCAGAGCUAAAACUGGAGUUCAAAAACCACAGAAAAUAUUUCCAAGGCUGUCUGUGAAGUGGGGAUGUCAAAAUACCAAAAAUUACAGCUUUGGAACUGCAGUGGAUGACCUUUAAUUGAUGCAGUUUAUAGGUGCUAAGUAUUGUGUGUGCUUUACGUUGCCUCAUGUGAGUGCUUCAUAGCAGGGUGUGACGCUGGCCAAGUGAUAUACCUACCCUCUUUGUCCCUGUUUCUAUCAACUGUAAAAUGGGGGUUCUAGAGUUGUUGUGAAGAUUAAAUGAGCUAAUACACACAAAGCACCAAGAACAAUGCUGGAUACAAGGUAAUAGGUGUUUCUUCCUAGACUUCACUAUCCUCAUGUGAGGUGGGUAUGUUUAUUUAUUUAUUUGGGGACAGGGUCUCGCUCUAUCACCCAGACUGGAGUGCAGUGUUGCAAUCAUGGCUUAGCUCCCUACAGCUUUUUAAAUUUAAUUAUUUAUUAUUAUUAUUUUUUUGAGAUGGAGUCUCACUCUGUCACCCAGGCUGGAGUGCAGUGGCACGAUCUCUGCUUACUGCAAGCUGGGCCUCC